CCCCAAGAUGGCGGCGGACGGCGUGAGGGAGGCGAAUGAGCCUCGAAUUGGGGCUGAAAACGGCGCCAGAGGUGUAAAAUAAAGCGAUUUAUGAGGUAAAUAACGAAGAAAGAACCGGAUCCUGCACUACGGGAGCGAAACGAGGGGUGCGCGCCCCAAAAAUCCCCUCAGAAACCCCGACAGAAGCAGCUCUGCCUCCAUUCCCAAGCCUUGGAAUACCGCUCCAGAGGGAAUCCCACCUCACCUCCCACACCAGCGAGCAUUUGUUCGUCUUCUUCACUGCCUCCUCGUCGGACUCCUCCUCAUCUGAAAACCAACCCCAAAAGCAGCCAAACCCCAUGAAUUUCACCCCAAAAAGAGAAGAACGGGGAGGGGGGAUACCCCCCCCACUCACCCUCACCCUUGGUGGCUGCCGUCUGCUCAUCCCAUUUGAUCCGGUGCAGCAUGAGCCGCUUGAACUUCUUCUGUGCUUUGGGACCUGCGGGAAGGCACCGGGAUGGGACCCAAGGCACUUCCCAGCCCCAACCGGCUUUCCCUUGGGAAUGCCGCCGUGUGCCGGAGGCCUCACCUCCCUCCACCACCACCACGUUGACGUCCUUGUGCAGCACCACAACCCCGCUCAGGUAGAGCUGCCCUGCGUUGGCCUCGAUCUUGAACUUCUUGGCUGGGUUGCUCAAGUUCCGGACCCUGUGUUGUUGGGAAGGGGCAGGAUGAGGCCCUGCUGAUCCCAGCGGGAAGAGCUGCAUCCCAAAAGCCCAUCCUGGUCUCCAUCUUUCAGGCCGUUGAGCUCAGCUUGGCCCAGUGGGAAUGCUCCCAAGCUGGAGCCAUGGGUUCAGCGCUUGGGUUUCCAAGGGGGAUGCGCUGCUCCGGCAGCACAUUCCUUAGGGAUGGAGGCUCGGCCUCACCUGUACACUGCUAUGUGAACCCCUUGGGACACGUCCUCCUUCAGCUUCUUCACCUUCUUGGCUUUCCGCUGCUCGGCCGUCAGCUUCCGGGCAGCGUUGGCCUCCUCGUGUGCCCUGCACACACACAGGGAUGCAGCAGGCACUGCCCCCCCUGCAUCCCAGAGCAUCCCCAAUUCCUGCUCCCUGGAAGGCUCAGGAACAGGGAUGAGCCUCGUGGCAAAAGGGAUCCCUCCAGCAGCCCCAGUGAGCUCAUACUUCCCAAAGCAUCCCCCAUUCAUCCUGCUUGGAAGCCUCAGGAGCAACAGGGAUGAGGCUCAUGGCAAGAGGAAUGCCUCUACCAGCCUCAAUGAGCUCAAACCAACCCCAUCUUCCGUCCAUCACUUCCCAAAUGCAUCCCCAAUUCCUUAUCCCUGGAAUGCUCAGGAAUAACAGGGAUGAGCCUCAUGGGAAGAGGGAUCCCUCCCUCCAGCAGCCCAGUGGGCUCAAACCCCAUCUUUCCUCCAUCACUUCCCAAAUGCCUCCCAAAAGGAGCCCCCCAGACCCCACUCUUCCACCUACUUCUGCCUCUUUGCCAUCUGAGCUCGGACGUGUGCUUCCACUUUGGUUGGAUCCUGGACAGCUUCCGUGCCCAAAACUCGCAUCAAGUUGGAGAUCCGGACUGGAAAGGAAAUGGGAAUGGAGAUGCCAAAGGAUCCUGGGCCUUUGGGAUGAGGCUUUCAUGGCCCCCACGGCCUCACCUUUGGGCUCCGGAGGUGGCAUCAGGCCCAGCCUGACCUUCUCCUGCAGCUCCUUCUGGGCCUCCCUGCGGGUCUGGCGCCGCAGCUUCUUCUGCUCCUUCUUGGUUAAAUAAACCCCUAAAGUCA
This is a long non-coding RNA of Melopsittacus undulatus (budgerigar), 1768 nucleotides long. RefSeq lists it as uncharacterized. The transcript is spliced from 2 exons. The record is from RefSeq and is a predicted model, not a curated record. Lineage: Eukaryota; Metazoa; Chordata; Aves; Psittaciformes; Psittaculidae.